RNAcentral lists this long non-coding RNA (314 nucleotides) under Pan troglodytes (chimpanzee). Its description in RNAcentral is "long non-coding RNA NONPTRT003852". The record is from RNAcentral. Lineage: Eukaryota; Metazoa; Chordata; Mammalia; Primates; Hominidae.
AUUGUGAUUGGGGAGGGGGAACUUGGAGAACUUCUGAAAUAUCAGUAACAUUAAAAGGAACAUAACCUGGGCGCGGUGGCUCACACCUCAAAACAGCAUGGUACUGGUACCAAAACAGAGAUAUAGAUCAAUGGAACAGAGUAGUUGGCUUUUAAAGUUCUUUUCAGUGGAGGUUCCAGGAGUCUUUGCUUAAAGGAAGGUGCACCAAUCUGGUUUCCCCCUGCAGUAUGGGCUGUUCUUUCUCUUUUCUCAGUCUCCAGUGUUCACUUACCCUUUUUGGCUGGACUUCUGAAUGUUGGGAGUCACCUGAGGCA